AAGAGUAAAGUACUUCCGCUUCCUUAGGUGGAGCUGGAAAGGUGGAGGCGGAAGUGACUGAUCAAUUCAGGGGCGUGGGGUUCGUUUAGGUUUUGCCCUGUGUAUGACCUCGUUUGGAGCCAUGAAACCAGAGAACUUGAAUACAGCAAUCAACAGAUGUCACUAUUGACCUCUGAAAAUAAAGGAGGAAGAGGAGAAAGACAGUGUGGAGGUGGGAUUGGACAAAGGCAUGAUCCUUGGAGGAAAGGUUAUUUUAGGGCAAUGAUGGAAAGCACCAAGUGGAGUCUGGAGCUAGACUGAUCUGUGUUCAAUCCUGUCUUGGUUACUCAUUGGGGGGCCUCGACUUUCAUGUCUCUGUAAUGUCCCUGACAGUAUCUGCCUCACAGGGUUGCUGUGAGAGUCAAGCGAGAUGUCUGAGGAAUAGUCUUAGUGGAUUAUCCCAAACUUGACACAUUUUUUGCAAAAUGCUAUACAAAAAGAAGAUACAUGCGAUUAUGACAAGAUUCUCCACUUGGUGUGACCAGUCUCAUACAACCCAAGGCUGUGUGUCCAAAGGCAACUGUACUGAUCUUGACAAUAAUCAAAAGGUAGCCAGGUGCAUCGGGGAAAGCACUGACAUUGGAGUCAGACAGACUGAAGUUCAUAUCUGAUUCUGCUAUAUGACAACGUGUGGGCUAUGUGGCUAACUUCUCAGAGCUUCAGUUUUCUCAAGGGCAAAAUGAAAAUAAUAGAAAUAAUAGAAUCCACCUCACAGGGCUGUGGUGAGAAUUGGAGAUGAAGCACAUACAGCAUAUUACAUCAACUAAACACAUGCUAAAAAUUAAAGGGGAUGAAAGAUACAUUGGUCCCUGCAGUGGGAAGUUUCCUUGACAAUGCAAUUAUUGAUUCCAGAAGGCUGAACAAAUGUUGACAGAGGAACACACUGUUUGCUUAUGUCUAAUCUUCCCAUCUGACUUAUAUAAAUGUCACAAAUGAAUCUCAGACAUGUGCCCAAUAUCAAAUAUCCAUACGAUGGCCCUGGAAAGAGGCAAUCUACAUUUAUGGCUGAUGAGAAGAUGGAUUUUUAGCUUGAAAGAAACUUAUUACUGGGGAGAGGAAGUAUAAAUGAAUGGAGAGAGCUAUGAAGAGGUUGAGAGAAUACAGCCAAGGCACAUGACAGAAUUGCUCUGUUGAAGUUUUGCAAGGUCAAAUGACUCACUUUGUCUAAUGGAACGGGAACGAACAAUUUUUUUGUGUCACGUUUGAACAGAUACCUUUGAGAAGUUUAUGAUUCUCCAAGUUCUCUUUCUCCUACUGUGGCACCUACUGACAAGAUAAAUGUGUAGAGGUUCCUGAGUCUAGGGGCACUGGAACCAGCUGACUGAUCUAUGGAAGUUCCCUUGGUCUCCAUUUGUUUAGAAAAGGGAUGAAGAAACUGAGGCCCACAGAAGGUGGGUGAUACCUGCAAAAUCACAAGCUUUCAUGGUGAAAGAAGAGGGCAAAACUCAACCCGUCUCUUUAGACUUGGGAAGAAUAUGAAAGGACCAGGAGGGACACCUUUCCUAAUAACCUAGCUGAUGGUUCACUUAUUGUAAGCACAUUCUCAAACAAGAGGCUGGAAAGCUGAAAAAUGACAUUCCCAGACUCCAUUGAAAUUAGAUUUCCAGAGGUGAUUUAUGUUCCACACAUCAGAUGUAUAUGCUCAAGAUUUGUUUAACAGGGAAGGAGGCAGUGGUGUGUGGGUCCCUUUUGCUCAUGUGAAUCUUACAGAGUUGUCUCACUAAGCCCAAAUUUGUCUAACUGGCCUUAUUUCCCUGGAGUAUAUCCUGGAAGUUUCCAUUCAAGCCAAUUUAAGUUACUUUAAAUUAGGAAAGGCAGAAAACAAAAGCCCAAACCUUUGUAAAGGAGGAGGAUUUGCUACAUUGUUCUCAAUUCAUCACAGAAGAGGAUGAAACUGAGUGAUUACACUUGCUGGAGAGAAAAAAAGUCCUUCCCCCGCUCACCCCAAAUAAAGCAUUAACUUUAUGUUAAUCCAUGAA
RNAcentral lists this long non-coding RNA (2018 nucleotides) under Homo sapiens (human). RNAcentral describes it as "PREDICTED lncRNA (TCONS_00005046)". Lineage: Eukaryota; Metazoa; Chordata; Mammalia; Primates; Hominidae. The record is from RNAcentral.